Molecule: unclassified non-coding RNA, 294 nt
Filed under: uncultured fungus
Lineage: Eukaryota; Fungi
Description: sequence contains ITS2
Rfam family: 5.8S ribosomal RNA (bases 1-52)
Source: RNAcentral
AACGCACCUUGCGCUCCUUGGUAUUCCGAGGAGCAUGCCUGUUUGAGUGUCAUUAAAUUCUCAACCCCCCGACGGAUUUGUUUCUGACGUGGGGCUUGGAUGUGAGGGUGUGCUGGACUCCAUUAGGAGGUCAGCUCCCUUUGAAUGCAUUAGCGGAUUUUACCAUCGUGGAUAGGCUUCGGACUGAUAAUUAUCUAUGCCGUCGCCGUGAAGCGGUAAUCUGCUCAUAACCGUCUUUGGACAAUUUUUUGACCAUUUGACCUCAAAUCAGGUAGGACUACCCGCUGAACUUAA